RNAcentral lists this ribosomal RNA (440 nucleotides) under uncultured bacterium. RNAcentral's name for it is "partial 16S ribosomal RNA". It matches the Rfam family "Bacterial small subunit ribosomal RNA", at positions 339 to 795 of the family's 1533-position model. The record is from RNAcentral.
CUACGGGGGGCAGCAGUGAGGAAUAUUGCACAAUGGGGGGAACCCUGAUGCAGCAACGCCGCGUGGAGGAUGACGCAUUUCGGUGUGUAAACUCCUUUUAUAUGUCAAGAAAAUGACGGUAGCAUAUGAAUAAGCACCGGCUAACUCCGUGCCAGCAGCCGCGGUGAAUACGGAGGGUGCAAGCGUUACUCGGAAUCACUGGGCGUAAAGGACGCGUAGGCGGGUUGGAAAGUCAGGUGUGAAAUCCUACAGCUUAACUGUAGAACUGCACUUGAAACUUCUAAUCUAGAGUAUGGGAGGGGGAGAUGGAAUUAGUGGUGUAGGGGUAAAAUUCGUAGAUAUCACUAGGAAUACCUAAAGCGAAGGCGAUCUCCUGGAACAUUACUGACGCUAAGGCGUGAAAGCGUGGGGAGCAAACAGGAUUAGAUACCCCUGUAGUC